UACGGAGGAUCCGAGCGUUAUCCGGAAUUAUUGGGUUUAAAGGGUGCGUAGGCGGCCGAGUAAGUCAGCGGUGAAAUUUUGCAGCUUAACUGUAACAGUGCCGUUGAUACUGGGGAGCUAGGAUUUGGUUGCUGUGGGUGGAAUGUGUGGUGUAGCGGUGAAAUGCUUAGAUAUUACACAGAACACCGAUUGCGAAGGCAGCUUACUAAACUGUCACUGACGCUGAUGCACGAAAGCGUGGGGAGCAAACAGGAUUAGAUA
This 261-nucleotide ribosomal RNA is filed under the name uncultured prokaryote. RNAcentral's name for it is "partial 16S ribosomal RNA". It matches the Rfam family "Bacterial small subunit ribosomal RNA", at positions 524 to 784 of the family's 1533-position model. The record is from RNAcentral.